CCUACGGGAGGCAGCAGUGGGGAAUAUUGGACAAUGGGCGAAAGCCUGAUCCAGCAAUGCCGCGUGAGUGAUGAAGGCCUUAGGGUUGUAAAGCUCUUUUACCAGGGAUGAUAAUGACAGUACCUGGAGAAUAAGCUCCGGCUAACUCCGUGCCAGCAGCCGCGGUAAUACGGAGGGAGCUAGCGUUGUUCGGAAUUACUGGGCGUAAAGCGUACGUAGGCGGUUAUUCAAGUCAGAGGUGAAAGCCCGGGGCUCAACCCCGGAACUGCCUUUGAAACUAGAUAGCUAGAAUCUUGGAGAGGUUAGUGGAAUUCCGAGUGUAGAGGUGAAAUUCGUAGAUAUUCGGAAGAACACCAGUGGCGAAGGCGACUAACUGGACAAGUAUUGACGCUGAGGUACGAAAGCGUGGGGAGCAAACAGGAUUAGAUACCCUGGUAGUCCACGCCGUAAACGAUGAUAACUAGUUGUUCGGGCACUUGGUGCCUGAGUGACGCGAGCUACGACAUUAAGUUAUACCGUCCGUCGGGUAGGUACGGUCGCGAGAAUUAAACUUAAACGUAAAGUUAGUACGGCGUGAGACGUGCCGAACGGACGACGACGAGGGAGUAGG
RNAcentral lists this ribosomal RNA (610 nucleotides) under uncultured bacterium. Its description in RNAcentral is "bacterial SSU rRNA". The stretch from base 1 to 520 matches the Rfam family "Bacterial small subunit ribosomal RNA", at positions 338 to 873 of the family's 1533-position model. The record is from RNAcentral.